UACAGAGGUCUCAAGCGUUGUUCGGAUUCAUUGGGCGUAAAGGGUGUGUAGGUGGCGCCGUAAGUCGGGUGUGAAAUUUCGGAGCUUAACUCCGAAACUGCAUUCGAUACUGCGGUGCUUGAGGACUGGAGAGGAGACUGGAAUUCAUGGUGUAGCAGUGAAAUGCGUAGAGAUCAUGAGGAACACCAAUGGCGAAGGCAGCUUCUUGGCUCAUUCCUGACGUUGAGGCACGAAAGCGUGGGGAGCGAACAGG
RNAcentral lists this ribosomal RNA (253 nucleotides) under uncultured bacterium. RNAcentral's name for it is "partial 16S ribosomal RNA". It matches the Rfam family "Bacterial small subunit ribosomal RNA", at positions 524 to 776 of the family's 1533-position model. The record is from RNAcentral.